Molecule: transfer RNA, 79 nt
Filed under: Granulicella mallensis MP5ACTX8
Lineage: Bacteria; Pseudomonadati; Acidobacteriota; Terriglobia; Terriglobales; Acidobacteriaceae
Description: Acidobacterium sp. MP5ACTX8 tRNA
Rfam family: tRNA
About the family: Transfer RNA (tRNA) molecules are approximately 80 nucleotides in length. Their secondary structure includes four short double-helical elements and three loops (D, anti-codon, and T loops). Further hydrogen bonds mediate the characteristic L-shaped molecular structure. tRNAs have two regions of fundamental functional importance: the anti-codon, which is responsible for specific mRNA codon recognition, and the 3' end, to which the tRNAs corresponding amino acid is attached (by aminoacyl-tRNA synthetases). tRNAs cope with the degeneracy of the genetic code in two manners: having more than one tRNA (with a specific anti-codon) for a particular amino acid; and 'wobble' base-pairing, i.e. permitting non-standard base-pairing at the 3rd anti-codon position.
Source: Rfam by way of RNAcentral
GCGGGAGUGGUGAAAUGGCAGACACGCAGGUCUUAGAAGCCUGUGCUUCGGCGUGGGGGUUCGAGUCCCCCCUCCCGCA